This is a long non-coding RNA of Dermochelys coriacea (leatherback sea turtle), 1939 nucleotides long. RefSeq lists it as uncharacterized. The transcript has 3 exons. NCBI's taxonomy places the organism in Eukaryota, Metazoa, Chordata, Testudines, Dermochelyidae. The record is from RefSeq and is a predicted model, not a curated record.
UAAAAGGCUAUAAUUCCAACUGAGCAAACUCUCUGCUAAAAGGGCUGAGAAAGCUGCAUGGAGAACUGAACCUCUAGGGAGAGAGGACUGGAGAAUGGACUUCUGCAACAGGUGCCUGCAAACAGGCCAAAGUCAGAAGCUGCCCAGGGAAUCAGUGAGGGAGUGUAAGAAAUGGACCCUAGCUAUCUGGUUCAAGGGCCUUGGGCUGGAUCCUAGAGGGAAACAUGGGUCUGGGUUUCCUAUUGCCCCUUCCCUUGCGGGGUGUGUGUGUGUGCGCGUGCAAAUCUUGAGAGUAAAGAAGCAAGGACUAUUGUGGCUGGACUGAGAGCAAAGACCUGGUGUAGGGGCAGUGAACUUUAGGCUUUUUGUUUUCCUUUCCUGUUUACCUGGAAGGGGUGUGACUGCAAGCAACCUGCCUUGGGGGCUGAGGGCCAAGAAAUAAAAGAUGGCUGAGUGGCCUGAGCUGUGCCUGACAGACAGAGGGGCUGCUAUGCUGUGCCCAGCUAUGAGAUGGUCACUGCCCCCCCAGUGAGUGAAUCUCUGACAACUUACCUAGCUGCGGGGGGAGAGUUUGAACCCCCUGCUAGCUCUAGCUAUACCCUCGAGCCGAGUAUUUACACUAAGAAUAGGCUACGAUCUUUACUGCAGCCAGGAGGGGGUUAACUGAUGCAUCAUAGACCCAGCCCUAUUUUGGAUUCUCUCUGAGAGUGUGGGUUCUGAAACCAUUUCAGGAAUGGACAAUAAUCUGCCUUUCAAAUUCCACUCUGGGGGUAAGCUGCUACAGGGGCAUGUGACAUAUGGGUGACGUCUAGUUGUGUGCUGGCACGUUGGUCUAAAUCUUGAAGUCCUUACUCAGCUCACAGGCUAAACUCUCUGCAUAGACUUUCAGAUUUCACCCACUGUUAACUUGUGUUCCCCUAGAGCUGGAUGCUGACAGAACCCAAGUCUGGUUGAAUUAAGAGUCUUAAACUGGCUUAAUGUUACUGUUGGAGGGCGAGAUGAGACUGGAGUCCCCAAGAGCCCCAACUGUGCUUGGGGAGCUGUGCUUGGGUCCCUCCCAACCUUUCACAGAGUGUGACUGAAAGGCAGGCUAGCCAGGGAAUAAAAGGAAGCGUGUUCUCAUGGGGUAAGAGCUGUCAGGAGAAGGUGAAGCCGUUUACUGGAAGCCCUUAUAGGAACCAUGGUCUGGGGGUUGACCGGUGCUGUCUCCUUGCUGACAGAGCCUAGAAAGAACUGUGUGGAAAGCAGACCUGGGAAGGGGGCCUAGAGGGGAGCUAUCAAAGGAGCCUGGGGAAGCGGUUGUACUGGCAGGUGCCAGGAGAGAAGCCAUGGUUAGUAACAGGCACUGUAGGAAGUAGCCAAAGGAGAGAAUAAAGCUUGGGUAAUCCUGGUUUAGAGUAGACUGCUGCCCACAAUUUAGGGUACCGGUCCCUUUAGUGCAAUGAGGGAGGUGCUGUGGAAACACCUGGACUGAGGGGGGAAAGGCCUGUUGCAGUUGGGGGAAUGCUGAAGAAUUAUUUGUUUUGCCUCCAAGGGGGAGGGCAAAAUGCCAACAAGCUCUCCUUUCUAGCAGGACAGCGGAUGCAAACUGAAGGAAAAUGGAGGUUGUGGGUGCUCUCUGACACUGGACAACCCUGGUGCUGCUGUUACAGCUGCCUUUCUACCCACCCCUGCCCGCCUGGGGGCACAUAGCAGGCAGAAAGGAAACUGCUCUCGGAAGAAAUUGACGCAUACACUUGAACUCCAGUGCAGAAAAUCACCUAACGGAGUAUUUGAGACUCAAGCCCUGGAUGGAAAGGAGAAGCUGACUGAAAUAGUCCUGUCCCUGUCUGAGACUGGCAUAGAAAACUUCAUCAGCUAAUGUGCUCUGCCUAUGGCAUCCAAUUGAGGGCAAGCUGGCCUUGAGUCUCUUGUCUAUAAAAAUUAAAUGGAUUCUACU